AUGAAGAAGAGGUGGAAGGAAAGAGAAGAGAUGGAAGGAGAGAGAGAAGAGAUAGAAGAGAUGGAAGGAGAGAGAGAAGAGGUGGAAGAAGAGAGAGAAGAGAUGGAAGGAGAGAGAAGAGGUGGAAGGAGAAAGAAGAGAUGGAAGGAGAGAGAAAAGAGGUGGAAGGAGAGAGAGAAGAGGUGGAAGGAGAGAGAGAAGAGGUGGAAGGAGAGAGAGAAGAGGUGGAAGGAGAGAGAGAAGACGAAGAUGAGGUGGAAGGAGAGAGAGAAGGGCAACAGAAACGUGAUAGAGAGAAUACAAGGCGACCAGGGACAGGAGGAGGAGGGAGAACACCACAGCGGUGAAGAUAGGGAGGAGGGAGAGCAUCACCAAGAUGAGGAGGGAGAAAGCUCCACAGGGACGUUGUUGCUCCACAGGGACGUUGUUGCUCCACAGGGACGUUGUCGCUGCUCCACAUGGACGUUGUUGCUCCACAGGGACGUUGUUGCUCCACAGGGACGUUGUCGCUGCUACACAGGGGACGUUGUUGCUCCACAGGGACGUUGUCGCUGCUCCACAGGGACGUUGUUGCUCCACAGGGACGUUGUCGCUGCUCCACAGGGGACGUUGUUGCUCCACAGGGACGUUGUUGCUCCACAGGGACGUUGUCGCUGCUACACAGGGGCGUUGUUGCUCCACAGGGACGUUGUCGCUGCUCCACAGGGGACGUUGUCGCUGCUCCACAGGGACGUUGUCGCUGCUCCACAGGGACGUUGUUGCUCCACAUGGACGUUGUUGCUCCACAUGGACGUUGUUGCUCCACAGGGGCGUUGUUGCUCCACAGGGGCGUUGUUGCUCCACAUGGACGUUGUUGCUCCACAUGGACGUUGUUGCUCCACAGGGGCGUUGUUGCUCCACAUGGGCGUUGUUGCUCCACAGGGACGUUGUUGCUCCACAGGGACGUUGUUGCUGCUCCACAGGGACGUUGUUGCUCCACAGGGACGUUGUUGCUCCACAUGGACGUUGUUGCUCCACAGGGACGUUGUUGCUACACAGGGACGUUGUCGCUGCUACACAGGGACGUUGUUGCUCCACAGGGACGUUGUCACUGCUCCACAGGGGCGUUGUUGCUCCACAGGGACGUUGUCGCUGCUCCACAGGGACGUUGUUGCUCCACAUGGACGUUGUUGCUCCACAUGGACGUUGUUGCUCCACAGGGGACGUUGUUGCUGCUCCACAUGGACGUUGUUGCUCCACAGGGGACGUUGUCGCUGCUCCACAGGGACGUUGUUGCUCCAUAUGGACGUUGUUGCUCCACAGGGACGUUGUCGCUGCUCCACAUGGGCGUUGUUGCUCCACAGGGACGUUGUUGCUCCACAGG
RNAcentral lists this long non-coding RNA (1363 nucleotides) under Dicentrarchus labrax (European seabass). RNAcentral describes it as "lncRNA (ENSDLAG00005026349.1)". Lineage: Eukaryota; Metazoa; Chordata; Actinopteri; Moronidae. The record is from RNAcentral.